AUUGAACGCUGGCGGCAGGCCUAACACAUGCAAGUCGAACGAGUGGCGGACGGGUGAGUACUGUCUGGGAAACUGCCUGAUGGAGGGGGAUAACUACUGGCAACGGUAGCUAAUACCGCAUACCAUCAGAUGUGCCCAGAUGGGAUUAGCUCGUUGGUGGGGUACCGGCUCAACAAGGCGACCAUCCCUAGCUGGUCUGAGAGGAUGACCAGCCACACGGGAGCGGAGAAGCGGUCCAAACUCGGACGUGAGGCAGCAGUGGGGAAUAUUACACAAUGGGCGCAAGCCAAAUGCAGCCAUGCCGCGUGUAUGAAAAAGGCCUUCGGGUUGUAAAGUACUUUCAGCGGGGAGGCGUUACCCGCAGAAGAAGCACCGGCUAACUCCGUGCCAGCAGCCGCGGUAAUAC
Molecule: ribosomal RNA, 406 nt
Filed under: uncultured bacterium
Lineage: Bacteria
Description: partial 16S ribosomal RNA
Rfam family: Bacterial small subunit ribosomal RNA
Source: RNAcentral